GAGGGAAAAAAUGUGAGCAAAGUAAUUUACACAGCCAGACACAGGCUAAAGUAAAAUCUUCUUUUAAAAUGAUUGGUAUGCUUUUAUUUUAAUGGUAUAUCAUUACUAAAAAUGAGUACAAAU
This is a small nucleolar RNA of Phodopus roborovskii (desert hamster), 123 nucleotides long. RefSeq annotates it as small nucleolar RNA SNORA15. The record is from RefSeq and is a predicted model, not a curated record. Lineage: Eukaryota; Metazoa; Chordata; Mammalia; Rodentia; Cricetidae. The transcript has a single exon.